This 2070-nucleotide long non-coding RNA is filed under the name Ananas comosus (pineapple). RNAcentral's name for it is "long non-coding RNA (ACOM_LNC027260)". The record is from RNAcentral. Lineage: Eukaryota; Viridiplantae; Streptophyta; Magnoliopsida; Poales; Bromeliaceae.
UAUAUGAUAAAAUUUUUAAGUUAACUGUGUAUAAAAUAUUUAAAGAAAAAAAAUAUAAAUUGAGGGAUCUCAAUCAAAUAAAAAAAAGUUGAGAAUUUUAUUCGAAAAGAGUCUAUAGUUGACGGGCAAUGUAAAAAAAAAAAAACUUCAAAUAUCAUCCAUGUGGUUUCACAUUUUUCACUUUAGUAUUCUAUAAUUUAAAUUGGAUCAAUUUAGUGCCCAGUAAUUUUAUUUUUAUUUUUUUAUUAUUGAUUUUACUAUUUUUUUCAAUAAAUUCGUGAUAAAGUUAAAAUUAAAGAAUACUAAAGUGAAUAUUCGAUAAAGUUAGGUGAGAUAUCUAAAGUUUUUGUAUAUAAUUUAACGAUACAUCAACAAAAAAGCUGGCGAAAAGAUACAAAUAAAAUUACAAAAUAUUAACUUAAUACACUUUAAAUUAUAAAAUAUUAAAAUAAAAAAAUACAAGAUUACCCAUGUAAAAAAAAAAAAAAAAAAAAAAAAUUGAGUGAAUUUAACAUAUUAGUACCUCUAGAAAAACUUCAAUCAUUAUUACCAUUUUUUGGACCAUAGACUUGUGUGUGCAUUAAUGCACACCAUGUGGGCGUUUAGCAAUACGUGAGAAUAUCUUGUAUAUAAAAUUUUAAAAAAAUUUCAAAUAUCACUUCUAUAAUUUUACACUUUUUUAUUUUAGUAUUAUAUAAUUUAAAGUGUAUCAUUUUUAUACUCUGUGAUUUUAUUUUAUUUUUUUUGUUAUUCGCUCUAUUAAUUUUUUUUGUUAAAUUAGUGAUAAAGUGAAAACUAAAAUGUACUAAAAUAAAUAUUCAAUAAAUUAUAUGUAGGUAUUUGAAGAUUUUUUAUAUAAUUUAACGAAAAGUUAACGGAGAGAUCGACAAAAAGAGAAAAAUAAAACCACAAGGUAAUAAAAUUGAAACACUUCAAAUUACAGGGUACUAAAGUGAGAAAGUACGAAACUAUAGAAGUGGUAUUUGAAGUUUAUCCUAAAAUUUAUAGGUUAUGCUCGACCAAAGAGAUCCAAAUUUGAAUUUUUUAAACUGAAAAAAUAUUAUAAUUAUAAAAAUAAUUUUUUUAAAAAUUUAUUUACAAAAUUAGACUUAUACGAUGAAUAAAUUAACGCUUUUUAAAUGCGAAAAGUUAGACACCGUUUUUUUUAUGGAUUAAAUUAAUUUUUAAAAUGUAAUAUUAUACAUCUUUUAAAAUUUGAAUGUAAAAAAUAUAUAAAUUAAAAUAAAAUAUUAGCACUUUUAUCAACCUAUUUUUAUAAAAUAAAAUAUUUAAAUAUUUAAAAUUUUAUAUUUUAAAAAAUUUAUAGGCUUAGUAAUCCAAAACCUCCUCCACAUUUAAUUGUCACACUAGUAAAAUACCCGCGCGAUACUGCGGAUAUAAAAAUAUUUUUAUAAUAAAGUUUAAUUUUUUUAUUUUUUUAUAUAAUUUUAUGUCUAAUUAUUAAUUAAAUAAAGAUAUAUAAAAAUAAUUUAAUAGUUAAUUUUAUUUAAAUAAAAAUUAUUUAAACAACAACUUAUUUUAUAAAGAUUUAUGUGAAAAAGAUUCGAGAUAAAUAAUAAUUUAAGAAAUUAAUAAAUAGAAGGGAAAUAAAAUAAUAGAAGAAUUUGUUUAAUAAAUUUAAUUAUAUAUAUAAACACACACGUACUAUAUUUCUAAAAUUUUACUCGUCAAAUUUAAAUUAUGUAUUUUUUUAUACAUUGAUCAUAUUAGAUUUUAUUAUGCGAUUUAUUACGUGUAUUAUUAAUAAUAUUAAUUAUUUAUAUUAGAUACAAUUAAUUAUUAAUAAAAUUAAUUAAUUAAUUUUAUAGAGUUUAGGAAUUUCAAAUUUUAAAUUUUAAUUUUGAAAAUUUUAAAUUUUAUACUAUAAAAUUUUAAAAUCAUAUAUAUAUAUAUAUAUAUUUAUUUAUUUAUUUAUUUAUUUAUUUAUAUAUUAGGAGAGAGUAGGGGAGGGUUGGGGGGACACGUGUCACCCCAUGGUCCCCUCAAAUUCUUCUUUAAUGUAGUAGUAAGUAUAGAUAUAGAUAUAGAUUUAAUUGUGUAAGACAAAAU